Molecule: non-coding RNA, 513 nt
Organism: Salmo salar (Atlantic salmon)
Lineage: Eukaryota; Metazoa; Chordata; Actinopteri; Salmoniformes; Salmonidae
Source: RefSeq, a predicted model, not a curated record
CACACACACACACACACACACACACACACACAGAGCCACAAAAUAUAAACCUCAGACUUCAUACGUUACAUGAUCGUCUCCACACAGAUCCUACAGUGAGUCUCUGCUGUAACUCUUAGAUCAAAGCUUAUGAUCAGUCCAAUGUUUUUGUUUCACAGUGUGUUUGAAAGCUGCUCGGCACGUGGCUUACACUUCCUCAUGCUGCCGUGAAGCCGUAAAGCUAAAUGAGGGUCUGUGUUAAGAAUAAAAGAAGGAUUAAAUGAACAACACUGUCUGAGGAGACAGGCAGCUCUUUCAGCAUACUGUAUGUAUAUGAUUUAAAUGAGGUGUGCUCUGCUGUGAGUGGUAUUGGAAAAGCAUUUGUCGGAACAGAGCCUCGCAGAAGCAUCCUUAAAUACAAGGCAAUCACCGUCCAACACAGAGACGAGGCAGGCGGAGAGGUGUGCCCAGACUGCAGAGUGGAAGAGGACAGAUGAUUAUGAUGGUAAUAAGCAAUAAACCAAAACAAAGUCA